AAAAAAAGUUCCUGUUCUGUGUUAAUGAGGAGGUUGGGUCUGAGAGGCCUCCAGUGGAUACCCAGAAGAAAACAACCUGUCCAAAACGUCAGCGUCACGUGAAGCAUGAUGACCUUUAAACAGUUUCAACCAAGAAAAGACCUUUUGGGGGGAAGGCAGGUGUGUAGUUUCAAGCAGUGGCUGCUACGCUGACAUCACCCUCCUCUGAGACUGCACCACAAUCAGGACUGGACCGAAGGGUCCACUUACCUAAGUGAGAUGCUGGAGUGAGGAAGUUUCCAGGAUGGUGGGGCGGAUGUCCAAAGGGACCUGCUGAUGGGUGUGUAGGACCUGAGGAGCCAAUGACAGAAGGCAUGAGGAAAACAUCCAUCAACUAUGGACUGUGAUAUUACCAAAAAGCAGUGAUACACACACACACACACUCACUCACCUGCAGCGGAGAAGAGCGUGGCGGGCCGUGCCAGGUCGUUGGGGUGAUGGAUGGCGCCGAAGAGGCUGGGGCCCGGAGG
This is a long non-coding RNA of Scomber scombrus (Atlantic mackerel), 509 nucleotides long. RefSeq lists it as uncharacterized. The transcript is spliced from 4 exons. The record is from RefSeq and is a predicted model, not a curated record. Lineage: Eukaryota; Metazoa; Chordata; Actinopteri; Scombriformes; Scombridae.